RNAcentral lists this long non-coding RNA (331 nucleotides) under Apteryx rowi (Okarito brown kiwi). Its description in RNAcentral is "lncRNA (ENSARWG00000009223.1)". The record is from RNAcentral. Lineage: Eukaryota; Metazoa; Chordata; Aves; Apterygiformes; Apterygidae.
UUUCAAUUUAUUUUUAGUAAACUCAUGUUCUGUUAUAGAUGCCUGUUCUCAUAACUUGCCCAGAAGCUCAAACAUGAAUUCUAGGAAAACCCUUUCGCACUUUGACAGAGUUGGGUGUUUUGAAUUCAACCAUGGAAGUAUCAUUUUGACUAAUGUUGGUAGAGAGAGGCUUGAAAGAUAACAUGUCACUGGUUUAUUUUCAUCACUUUGUAUCUACAUGCUUGCAUGCAAUCCAGUUGCUGCCCGACUUAAAGGGAAGAUGAGAGGAAUUUGAAGCAAACUGGCUGUGUAGCUGCUCUGGACAAAAAAAAUAAAUUCUUGAGCAUGUGCA